GGAGGGAGCGACGCAGAGGCCUGCAGGCUGGGGGGCCUGGGGGGGCGCCGGAGGUCGACGGACGAGGAUCUGGAAACUGAACUGUGGAGAGCACACUGCAGAUUCUCUGUCAUUCUGGCAAGACACAAUACUAUAGGCUUUAAAAGAUCCACUUACAUCUGGCUGGAAAGGGGAUUUUACAGACGAUAAAAUGCAACCAAGAUGCAGUAGCAGAUAUUAUCCCAGUAGACCUUGCUAUCAACUUAACCAUCACUGCUGGGUGGUACACUGCAGUUCACAGUUAUUCUGCUUUGAUGUCCGUCAGCUGAUUUGGUCAGAAUACAUACAAUUUACUGCUUAGGAACUAAGACAUUUCUGCUGAAUGAAGACAUGGCUGGAAUUCCUGCAGCCAAACAGCAUAUC
Molecule: non-coding RNA, 402 nt
Organism: Python bivittatus (Burmese python)
Lineage: Eukaryota; Metazoa; Chordata; Lepidosauria; Squamata; Pythonidae
Source: RefSeq, a predicted model, not a curated record